Molecule: long non-coding RNA, 237 nt
Filed under: Elaeis guineensis (African oil palm)
Lineage: Eukaryota; Viridiplantae; Streptophyta; Magnoliopsida; Arecales; Arecaceae
Description: long non-coding RNA (EGUI_LNC023789)
Source: RNAcentral
CUCACCUAGAUCAUGGUCGGAUAAAAGGAAGAGAGCAUCUCGAUCACCGGCCAACUCCUCAAGAGCUCCCGAUCGGUCGGGAGAAUGGUUGCCUAACACAACCUCCUAGCCAAACUGUGGUUGGUCAAGGCCGACGUUCCUUCGGGAACCUGAGAGUCGGACGACGCGAUGCGGUCCCCCGACCUUGUGUCGUCCGCCGGCACCAUCGGAGCCUUCCCCCGAUCGGUCAUCCAGGCC